RNAcentral lists this ribosomal RNA (402 nucleotides) under uncultured bacterium. Its description in RNAcentral is "partial 16S ribosomal RNA". It matches the Rfam family "Bacterial small subunit ribosomal RNA", at positions 360 to 774 of the family's 1533-position model. The record is from RNAcentral.
AAUAUUGCACAAUGGGCGAAAGCCUGAUGCAGCAACGCCGCGUGAGGGAUGACGGCCUUCGGCUUGUAAACCUCUGUUAGUAGGGAAGAAGCGAACGUGACGGUACCUGCAGAAUAAGCCCCGGCUAACUACGUGCUAGCAGCCGCGGUAAUACGUAGGGUGCAAGCGUUGUCCGUAAUUCUUGGGCGUAAAGAGCUCGUAGGGGGCUUGUCGCGUCUGCCGUGAAGACCGAGGGCUCAACCCUGGGCGUGCGGUGGGUACGGGCAGGCUAGAGUGCGGUAGGGGAGAUUGGAAUUCCUGGUGUAGCGGUGGAAUGAGCAGAUAUCAGGAGGAACACCGAUGGCGAAGGCAGAUCUCUGGGCCGUAACUGACGCUGAGGAGCGAAAGCAUGGGGAGCGAACA